UUUUACCUAGUUUAUUUAUAAAACACUCGUUUGUCAGGCGGGAGAAACCGUAAAACGUGGUUGAGU
This 66-nucleotide transfer RNA is filed under the name Gastrocopta cristata. RNAcentral's name for it is "tRNA-Asp". The record is from RNAcentral. Lineage: Eukaryota; Metazoa; Mollusca; Gastropoda; Stylommatophora; Pupillidae.